RNAcentral lists this long non-coding RNA (286 nucleotides) under Malus domestica (apple). RNAcentral describes it as "long non-coding RNA (MDOM_LNC006137)". The record is from RNAcentral. Lineage: Eukaryota; Viridiplantae; Streptophyta; Magnoliopsida; Rosales; Rosaceae.
UUGAGUCGUAUAGGAACGCUUUCCUUUAUUACGCUCGAUACUUUGGCCGAAGAUUCCCGAAUCAUAUCUUAGAGUAUUCUUCCUCUCUAAUCGAGGAUUAGAGAUUCCUUGUUGCGCAUUCACUUGCCUUCAUGACUAAGUGGCUUAACCCCAAUUAUGCCGUGGACAUCCGCAAAUGGGGUGACUUUGACAUAAUCAAAGAUUAAGUACUUAGCCACAAGACAACGACGAUGCCUCAGGUCAAAUGACUACUUACAUUAUUCCAACCAUUAGAGUUACUUGCUUG